Molecule: non-coding RNA, 221 nt
Organism: Salvia hispanica
Lineage: Eukaryota; Viridiplantae; Streptophyta; Magnoliopsida; Lamiales; Lamiaceae
Source: RefSeq, a predicted model, not a curated record
AUAUGCUCCCACAACGCUCUUCAUAUAAACAACAAGGAGGUGGAAGAAGGAGAAGCCAAAAACAAGAAGGAAGAGAAAGAUGAUGUUGAGAAGCGGAAUCCCAAAUGUUCCUCCAAACUAUAGUCUAGAUUAUAGUAAUAUGAAGUACUAGGAAAUAUAAUAAGGUGCGAGGUUGUUGUGGAAUGUAAUGCGCUGAUCAAUAUAACACACAAAUCAUAUCC